AGGUUAAGUGAAUAAGGGCGCACGGUGGAUGCCUUGGCACUAGGAGCCGAUGAAGGACGGGACUAACACCGAUAUGCUUUGGGGAGCUGUAAGUAAGCUAUGAUCCAGAGAUUUCCGAAUGGGGGAACCCAGCAUCUUUUAUAGGAUGUUACACAGUUGUGAAUACAUAGCAGCUGUGAGGUAGACGCAGAGAACUGAAACAUCUAAGUACCUGCAGGAAGAGAAAGAAAAUUCGAUUCCCUGAGUAGCGGCGAGCGAAACGGGAAAAGCCCAAACCAACAAGCUUGCUUGUUGGGGUUGUAGGACUCCGAUAUGGUAGUUGAAACAGAUAGUCGAAAUACUUGGAAAAGUAUGUCAAAGAGGGUAAAAACCCCGUAGAUGAAAUCUGGCUCACACCUAGGAGGAUCCUGAGUACGGCGGAACACGAGGAAUUCCGUCGGAAUCCGGGAGGACCAUCUCCCAAGGCUAAAUACUCCCUAGUGACCGAUAGUGAACCAGUACCGUGAGGGAAAGGUGAAAAGCACCCCGGAAGGGGAGUGAAAUAGAUCCUGAAACCGUGUGCCUACAACAAGUUAGAGCCCGUUAAUGGGUGAUAGCGUGCCUUUUGUAGAAUGAACCGGCGAGUUACGAUAGCAUGCGAGGUUAAGUUGAAGAGACGGAGCCGCAGCGAAAGCGAGUCUGAAUAGGGCGAAUGAGUAUGUUGUCGUAGACCCGAAACCAUGUGAUCUACCCAUGUCCAGGUUGAAGGUGCGGUAAAACGCACUGGAGGACCGAACCCACGUACGUUGAAAAGUGCGGGGAUGAGGUGUGGGUAGCGGAGAAAUUCCAAACGAACUUGGAGAUAGCUGGUUCUCUCCGAAAUAGCUUUAGGGCUAGCCUCGGAAUUGAGAAUGAUGGAGGUAGAGCACUGUUUGGACUAGGGGCCCAUCUCGGGUUACCGAAUUCAGAUAAACUCCGAAUGCCAUUCAUUCAUAUCCGGGAGUCAGACUGUGAGUGAUAAGAUCCAUAGUCGAAAGGGAAACAGCCCAGACCACCAGCUAAGGUCCCCAAAUAACUAUUAAGUGGAAAAGGAUGUGGGGUUGCACAGACAACUAGGAUGUUGGCUUAGAAGCAGCCACCAUUUAAAGAGUGCGUAAUAGCUCACUAGUCGAGUGACCCUGCGCCGAAAAUGUACCGGGGCUAAAUAGUUUACCGAAGCUGUGGAGUGCACCGUAAGGUGCAUUGGUAGGAGAGCGUUCUAAGGGCGUUGAAGGUAGAUCGUGAGGACUACUGGAGCGCUUAGAAGUGAGAAUGCCGGUAUGAGUAGCGAAAGACAGGUGAGAAUCCUGUCCACCGUAUGACUAAGGUUUCCUGGGGAAGGCUCGUCCGCCCAGGGUUAGUCGGGACCUAAGCCGAGGCCGACAGGCGUAGGCGAUGGACAACAGGUUGAUAUUCCUGUACCCGUUGUUUUUGUUUGAGCAAUGGAGGGACGCAGGAGGCUAAGAAGUGCAGACUGAUGGAUAUGUCUGUUCAAGCAGUGAGUCUUAGUGGGAGUCAAAUGCUUCUACUUUCAAGGACAAGCUGUGAUGAGGAGGGAAAUAAUAGUACCGAAGCUUCUGAUGUCACACUGCCAAGAAAAGCUUCUAGUGAGAAAACAAUGGCCCGUACCGCAAACCGACACAGGUAGUCGAGGAGAGCAUCCUAAGGUGAGCGAGAGAACUCUCGUUAAGGAACUCGGCAAAAUGACCCCGUAACUUCGGGAGAAGGGGUGCUGCUCUAACGAGCAGCCGCAGUGAAUAGGCCCAAGCGACUGUUUAUCAAAAACACAGGUCUCUGCAAAAUCGAAAGAUGACGUAUAGGGGCUGACGCCUGCCCGGUGCUGGAA
Molecule: ribosomal RNA, 1864 nt
Filed under: Enterococcus gallinarum
Lineage: Bacteria; Bacillati; Bacillota; Bacilli; Lactobacillales; Enterococcaceae
Description: bacterial LSU rRNA
Rfam family: Bacterial large subunit ribosomal RNA
Source: RNAcentral